Molecule: long non-coding RNA, 1460 nt
Filed under: Mus musculus (house mouse)
Lineage: Eukaryota; Metazoa; Chordata; Mammalia; Rodentia; Muridae
Description: long non-coding RNA chrX:151318730-151320190
Source: RNAcentral
UUUGUUAUCUUAAAAUGGCAGAAUGCAUUUCAUUUGGAUCUUAGUUGGUAGUAAGCUUUUAGAUAAUUGCUUAUCUAAUCUCUGUAGUUUAAUGGACUUGACUCUCUUUGCUGUAUUUUCUAAGCAUUGAAAAUUCUCUUCCCCCCUUUAAAAAACUCAGCAAAUGUUUGUAACUGGAUAUUCCUUGUUUCACAUGUUUACUGUGUAACACUACAUUUUUAAUAUUAGUAAAUACUAUAUUUCAGUCGUCAUUUAUAAGUACAUUCCUGAGGUAUAUUUGCCAUCAAUUUGUGAUUCAGUUACCUCAUGUUUUCUUUGAUUAAGAAAAACCUGAGCCUUCUGAGGUGGUAUGCAAGCCAUUUUCUAGAAUAGAUUGGUUUUUUUUUUAAUCUGUAGUUAAUCAGGGACUUAUUUUCCCUCCCUUUAUUUAGAAGAUAUAAUAGAAAGGUAUGUAUAUAUAGAAAAGACUUUUGAUUUGGUAAAUAAAAUUCUAGGGUUAAAAUUUAAAACUCUAACCCAAAUUAUGAAAUGAAAACACUCGAACAUAGUACCAGUUCUUUUUACAUAAAAUUAGUGUGCAAUUGGUAUAGAGACAUACUUUCAGACCACCCUGGAAAGAGUCUCUUUUAUAUGUGUAUGAAGGAUGAAUUCAAACAUUGAUCAGGGACCUUGACAACUAUCAUGUGAAUGGGCCCACAGUAGUAAUCAGGUUAAAGUGAUUUUCCACUGAGAUGGUUGAAAGAAUGUACAGAUCAACAGCUCCGAUUCUGGGAGGUUCUCCGUGAAGUAAAACAACCCAGACUGUUAAAAAGCUAAAGGUCAGGUGAGAAGGCAAGGGGAAGACUACACUCUGAAGGGACGAUGCAUGAAAAUGCACACUUGGCACCCUUCUAGCUUUUUUACAUUGUGUUUCUUCCCACUAUAAUUUAAGAUUUAAGGUUGAGAUUUGUAGUCUAGACCCCUCAGCAGGUAGAGUGGAUACAGUGACUGGUCAGAAAGUGCAGUUGCAGGUCUGUCAUGCUCAAUCACUUAACGCUAUAAUGUGUUUCCUGCGAAUAUCAAGCAUGUAGACCAAGUGCAGCAUGGGAGCCACUCAGGAAGUUUAUGAAAUUAAACUUUCAUGCAUAAUUUACCAUGAAAUAUGUAGAUUUCAGCCAAUUCUCAAUACUUAACAUUUAGUUAUAUAUGUGAACUCUCCUUUCUUAAUUCGGGAAUGUAGCAUUAUAUAGAAUGCUGUUAAACUUAAUUUUAACCCUUUUUAACUUUUUUUUUUUUUUGGUAAGCCAAGUGAUCUACCUUUCAGCAGUUGUCUGGUUUUGAUUCGUCGAAACUGUGAUUUUUAUUUUAAUUACUAUCCAACUGUUGUUAAAUAUUUUGUUUCCUGGAAUUUUGUUUUGAAAUAAAAAUAAAGGCUGUGUUAAAUGAGUAUGUCACCUUAUUAAAAUUCUGUCAUAUUUACU